CAUUCGACUGUUNAUCGAAGGG
Molecule: transfer RNA, 22 nt
Filed under: Micrococcus luteus
Lineage: Bacteria; Bacillati; Actinomycetota; Actinomycetes; Micrococcales; Micrococcaceae
Description: tRNA-Ala
Source: RNAcentral